UACGUAGGGAGCGAGCGUUGUCCGGAAUUACUGGGUGUAAAGGGUGCGUAGGCGGCCUUGCAAGUCAGGCGUGAAAACCAUGGGCUCAACCCGUGGACUGCGUUUGAAACUGUGAGGCUUGAGUGAAGUAGAGGUAGGCGGAAUUCCCGGUGUAGCGGUGAAAUGCGUAGGGAUCGGGAGGAACACCAGUGGCGAAGGCGGCCUACUGGGCUUUAACUGACGCUGAGGCACGAAAGCAUGGGUAGCAAACAGG
Molecule: ribosomal RNA, 253 nt
Filed under: uncultured bacterium
Lineage: Bacteria
Description: partial 16S ribosomal RNA
Rfam family: Bacterial small subunit ribosomal RNA
Source: RNAcentral